RNAcentral lists this ribosomal RNA (470 nucleotides) under uncultured bacterium. Its description in RNAcentral is "bacterial SSU rRNA". It matches the Rfam family "Bacterial small subunit ribosomal RNA", at positions 28 to 507 of the family's 1533-position model. The record is from RNAcentral.
GACGAACGCUGGCGGCGUGCCUAACACAUGCAAGUCGAGCGGAGACAGUGAGUAGCUUGCUAUGAGCUGUUUUAGCGGCGGACGGGUGAGUAACGCGUGAGCAACCUUUCCCAGACAGGGGAAUAACACACCGAAAGGUGUACUAAUACCGCAUAAGACCACGGAAUCACAUGGUUCUGGGGUAAAAGAUUUAUCGGUUUGGGGUGGGCUCGCGUCCGAUUAGGUAGUUGGUGAGGUAACGGCCCACCAAGCCGACGAUCGGUAGCCGACCUGAGAGGGUGAUCGGCCACAUUGGGACUGAGACACGGCCCAAACUCCUACGGGAGGCAGCAGUGGGGAAUAUUGGGCAAUGGAGGAAACUCUGACCCAGCAACGCCGCGUGGAGGAAGAAGGUUUUCGGAUCGUAAACUCCUGUCCUUGGAGACGAGUAGAAGACGGUAUCCAAGGAGGAAGCCCCGGCUAACUACGUG